GACUCCACAGAACCACUGCUCCCAUGGGAGUGAGUCAGUCCUGUGUCACAGGUUGCAUACCCUUCUGUCUCAGGCACUUGAUAUUCAGAAGUUAAUUUGGGGGAUCUCAUUAGUCUGCACAGAUCUAUAAGAUUUGGAGGCACUUACAUGCAAGCAAUGGCUUUUCAGGAGCCCUGGAAAAAUCUGCCUGCUUCCCAGCAACACGCAAUUGCUGGCUGCUGCUGUGAACCUUAGAGGAAGAUUAAAGGGUGCAUAUACAUGCAUAGAGCCAACUCCUGAAGUCAUGGUUGAUGUGAUUUUCACAGGCUAUGAAUUCCAUGAUCCAUUGUAUCAAUAGGCAAAUCUGUCCAGAGCAGAAAAGAACAUUUUAUGAAGCAGAGCUCUGUAGGAUCAACAGGAAUAAAAUACCAAGCCAGCUUCGGCUUCCUGUGGUGAAGAAAAAGAGGAAAGGAAGGAGGAAGAGGAGCAGCAUGGGAAGAAAGAAGAGGAAGAGAAAGAGACUGUGACUGCAUUUUCUUCUGUUUAAUGAAAGGGGGAGAGUUACCAGACCUGCCCAUGAUGAGCAGUUCCAAUUUUCUGUUUCCUGUACUAGCUCCCUCCAGUGGCUCAGGGUAUCUGUUGACCUCAACGGAACAGU
This is a long non-coding RNA of Dromaius novaehollandiae (emu), 637 nucleotides long. RefSeq lists it as uncharacterized. The record is from RefSeq and is a predicted model, not a curated record. NCBI's taxonomy places the organism in Eukaryota, Metazoa, Chordata, Aves, Casuariiformes, Dromaiidae. The transcript has 3 exons.